GACUUAGGACGUAAUUGGUCUUUUUCUUUAUUUGUAUUGAGUCAGAUUGUAUUAAAUAAAUGUAAUAUGAUUGUCAGGUGAGCCGGGACAGCCUUCUUCCUCCUCACAGCCGCCACAGUAAUUUGUCGUCAAGUCUGCCACAGGAGGAUAUUUUGUUCUGGGUUAACCUGCCUUUUUACCUCGCAGGUUGUUUAUCAAUAUUGUGUAAUUUUAAUUACUCCUAGAAUUUCCGCAUGUGUUAGCAGUAAUUAUUUGAAAUUGGUCUGUAAUAUUAUAUUCAUGUUGGACCUGUAAACUUAAUAUUUUAAGUCUGUUUUGAUGGAUUGGAUGAGGGAGCUGAGCUCCCAUUUAUUAUUAUGUUGAUGAGUAUGUGGAGGGUGAGCUGAGCUCCCCAAUGGA
Molecule: long non-coding RNA, 399 nt
Organism: Hevea brasiliensis (rubber tree)
Lineage: Eukaryota; Viridiplantae; Streptophyta; Magnoliopsida; Malpighiales; Euphorbiaceae
Exons: 2
Source: RefSeq, a predicted model, not a curated record